GUGAACAACGUGCCCCUAAGUCCGGGACAAACGCAGAAAUGCCAUAAAUACCGGAUGUGACCAGGAUGAUGCAUAUCAAUCUGAUUAAAGGGUUUUCGCUUAGGGAGCGGUUCACGGCCUAUCAGCUAGUUGGCGGGGUAAAAGCCCACCAAGGCGACGACGGGUAGGGGGUCUAAGAGGAUGAUCCCCCCGAGUGGGACUGAGACACGGCC
Molecule: ribosomal RNA, 212 nt
Filed under: uncultured bacterium
Lineage: Bacteria
Description: partial 16S ribosomal RNA
Rfam family: Bacterial small subunit ribosomal RNA
Source: RNAcentral